RNAcentral lists this transfer RNA (75 nucleotides) under Bacteriophage DSS3_MAL1. RNAcentral describes it as "tRNA-Val". It matches the Rfam family "tRNA". From Rfam's summary of the family: Transfer RNA (tRNA) molecules are approximately 80 nucleotides in length. The record is from RNAcentral. Lineage: Duplodnaviria; Heunggongvirae; Uroviricota; Caudoviricetes.
GCCCGGUUAGCUCAGCGGUAGAGCAGCUCCUUUACACGGAGAAGGUCGGCGGUUCGAUCCCGUCACCGGGUACCA